AGUGCCAGUUCAGGCAUAGUCUGUCUGGGCUUUUGGAUAAGAAAGGGCAGUUGUAGGAGGUACUUGAUAAUAAACAAGGGUGGGCAGCAGAUUGGCUGUUGGAAAUAGGAAUGAGGGGAGAGCCGGGUGACUAGAAGGCUGCUGCUGACAUUGACAGGAGCAGACCUGAGGACAGGAUGGGAGGAAGGGUGAGCUUAGUUGAGGAAAAGUUGACUUUAGGUCACCAGAGUUCAGGCGGAGCUUUCCAAAAGGUCAGUGGAAACACAAGACAUGUACCCCAAACUCCUGAAGUGAACAGAAGCUUGAAGAAACAAAAGGCUUCUCCUCCUUGAGCCCUGGGAGAAAGUGAGGCCCCACUGACACCUCAACUUCUUACUUUGGGCCUCCAAAACUUCGAGAAAACACAUUUCUGUUGUUAAAAAAAAAAAAAAAGAAAAAAAAGACACAUACCCAAGAGAAGCAUGCCCAGAGCUGGACAUGUAGAAUUUGGAGUUACUCACACUGAGAUGAAAGGUGGGGGCAUACAAUAUUAUCCAUCGGAAGGAGCAAGGGACAAGAACAUGGGCAAAGGAGAGCAAUGGGCCCAAAUAAGGACCCGAGGAAUAAGUCAACAUGGUGUCACAUUAGAGCCCAAGCAAAAUGAAAAACUGCUAACACUGAUCCUGUCUUUAUUCAAAAGAUUUACAUUUUUCAUCACAGAUUUUGUAUUAAUUUUCAUUUUUAAAAGUAUUUCAGGGUGUUCCCUUUGUGGCGUAGUGGAAACGAAUCCAAAUAGAAUCCAUGAGGUGCAAGUUUGAUCCCUGGCCUCACUCAGUGGGUCAGGGAUCCGGCAUUGCCAUGAGCUGUGGCGUAGGUUGCAGAUGCGCCUUGGAUCCCACAGUUGCUGUGGCUGUGGCAUAGGCCAGCAGCUGUAGCUCCGAUUUGACCCCUAGCCCGGGAACUUCCAUAUGCCUUGGGUACGGCCCUAAAAAGCAAAUAAAAUAAAAUAAUAUCUUUUACUAAAAUAGUCUCACCAGCCUAGAUGCAAACCCUGGCUCUGACAUCUCUUAGGUGCAUGACCUCAAGCUAAUCACUUCACUCCCCUAAAGCUGGUGUCCUCACCUGAAAAAUAACACCUUCCUGGUAAAGUUGUCAAGUACCCUGCCCUACACAGGUACUUCCUAAAAAUUUGUUCUCAAGGCUUUCAGAUGAUGAGAAGGAAAAUGAAGAAGCUGGACAAAGAGAUGACAGGAGGAAAGAGGAGCUAGGAGAGAGGAGGGAGGCAGUGCAGCUGGAAAAUGAGGCUCCUUCAUCUUUAUAUGGACAGACCCACACAGAAUUGAGAUGCUUCGUUCACUGUCCACAAUGUAUACAUUGCUUUAAACACCUUUUUUUUUUUUAAGCUGUCUGUGACUUUCUUCCAUUUGUAUGAGGGAUGAAGAAUCAAAACCUUUCUUCCCACCAGAUGGGAAAGGCCCAGUGCUCAGUGUGGACUGGACCCUGGCAACUGUCUGACCCAGUCCACUCUCCUGCCCUUGUCUUCCAUCCUUGCAGUCCCUCUGAUUAGCACUCUCCUGAUGACAACAUAUAGCCACUGGAACAUGGCUCCAGGAGGACUGGGAGGAGCCCAGGUGAGGGAGGGGGAUCUACAUCAUUUCCUUCCCAACGCUUUCGUUCCAGAGGCUUAUAACUCCCCAGCAUGUUUUUCUCUGGUAGAAAAUGUCCAUGUUUGGUGCCUGCUCAAGGGAGAAUCUCUAUGGAAAGUUUGAGAAAGAUUCCCUCUGGCUGGUAAUGUGAAAAAAGCCUGUGCCUUUC
Molecule: long non-coding RNA, 1794 nt
Filed under: Sus scrofa (pig)
Lineage: Eukaryota; Metazoa; Chordata; Mammalia; Artiodactyla; Suidae
Description: lncRNA (ENSSSCG00025057557.1)
Source: RNAcentral